CACAGACUGAGGCUGGAGAGUUUUCUGUAAAAACACAGUUAAUAAGUGACAAUGGCAGACCACAGAUUUCCAAAUGAUUUCCAACUCAUCACUUUUGAUGAAGACUACCUGGAACUGGAAGGUGAAGAUGUCUCCCUCCCCUGUCGUCUUUACCCUGAGACCAGCGCUGUUGCCCUGACGAUCAGAUGAUUUAAGUAUGAAGAGUGUAUUUACCUGUAUAAGAAUGGUCAGUUGACAGAGAGGUGUGGCUAUGAGGGCAGACUGAGUCUGAACAACCAGGAGAUGGAGAGAGGAAAUGUGUCUCUGAGGAUGAAGAACAUCAAGAAAUCAGAUGAAGGAGUCUACAUCUGUCAGGUCAUCCAUGGAGCACAGAAGGAGGAGACGGCAGUCGGAUUAGGGACCAGAGGGGGUAAGUGGUCGGUAACUACAGUCUAACAGUAUGUGGUCGGUAAC
Long non-coding RNA from Esox lucius (northern pike), 453 nucleotides. The record is from Ensembl. Lineage: Eukaryota; Metazoa; Chordata; Actinopteri; Esociformes; Esocidae.